UGGGGGAAAAAAGUUGGGCGAAGGCGGCCUUUCUGGACUGACACUGACACUGAGGUGCGAAAGCGUGGGUAGCAAACAGGAUUAAAUACCCUGGUAGUCCACGCCGUAAACGAUGUCAACUAGCCGUUGGGUCCCUUGAGGACUUAGUGGCGCAGCUAACGCAAUAAGUUGACCGCCUGGGGAGUACGGCCGCAAGGUUAAAACUCAAAUGAAUUGACGGGGGCCCGCACAAGCGGUGGAGCAUGUGGUUUAAUUCGAUGCAACGCGAAGAACCUUACCUACCCUUGACAUCCAGAGGACUUUCCAGAGAUGGAUUGGUGCCUUCGGGAACUCUGAGACAGGUGCUGCAUGGCUGUCGUCAGCUCGUGUUGUGAAAUGUUGGGUUAAGUCCCGUAACGAGCGCAACCCCUAUCCUUAUUUGCCAGCGAGUAAUGUCGGGAACUCUAAGGAGACUGCCGGUGACAAACCGGAGGAAGGUGGGGACGACGUCAAGUCAUCAUGGCCCUUACGGGUAGGGCUACAC
Molecule: ribosomal RNA, 523 nt
Filed under: uncultured Cobetia sp.
Lineage: Bacteria; Pseudomonadati; Pseudomonadota; Gammaproteobacteria; Oceanospirillales; Halomonadaceae
Description: bacterial SSU rRNA
Rfam family: Bacterial small subunit ribosomal RNA
Source: RNAcentral